UACGGGGGGGGCAAGCGUUGUUCGGAAUUACUGGGCGUAAAGGGCUCGUAGGCGGCCAACUAAGUCGGACGUGAAAUCCCUCGGCUUAACCGGGGAACGGCGUCCGAUACUGGAUGGCUUGAAUUCGGGAGAGGGAUGUGGAAUUCCAGGUGUAGCGGUGAAAUGCGUAGAUAUCUGGAGGAACACCGGUGGCGAAGGCGGCAUCCUGGACCGACAUUGACGCUGAGGCGCGAAAGCCAGGGGAGCAAACGGG
This 253-nucleotide ribosomal RNA is filed under the name uncultured bacterium. RNAcentral's name for it is "partial 16S ribosomal RNA". It matches the Rfam family "Bacterial small subunit ribosomal RNA", at positions 524 to 776 of the family's 1533-position model. The record is from RNAcentral.